Gossypium raimondii (Peruvian cotton) is the source of this 1193-nucleotide long non-coding RNA. RefSeq lists it as uncharacterized. The transcript is spliced from 2 exons. NCBI's taxonomy places the organism in Eukaryota, Viridiplantae, Streptophyta, Magnoliopsida, Malvales, Malvaceae. The record is from RefSeq and is a predicted model, not a curated record.
CUUAGCAGUUCUUGAUGGUCUUGUAUGUAUAUAUUGAAACUCUAGUUUUAACUUAGUUCUGAAUUCUAGAAAUUUUAGCUGUAAACGGUUGGAGUUUAGUUUACACCAAGAACAAGAAUAAGAAGAGCAAACAAAAAUUCAUAAGUCCUCUGCUACCUUACUUUUAUUGCCAUUUGCUGUUGCAGCUGCUUGUUUCACCGCUUAUUCCUUCCGGUGCUGCCGCUCGAAUUGCUUCAAUUCUUCCUGCCAAUUUUGAUACUUCAAUUAGUUGCUUGCUUUGAGGUUAGUUCAAUUAAUGGUAAAUUUAGGCAGAGUUGCAGGCAUUAUCUUACUGGAUACACAGGCAUAUGGCCUGUAAAGUUUAACCUACAAUCUCCAUGCUCACAUCUUCAUUGGCCUGUAAUAUACCUAAACUGCGUUUUGGAAGAAACAACAAAAGCCUUUAUAUGGGUGUGAAAGAUCCAAAGUGCAGUAGUGUUAGUUACACAACAGGAAAUAGGAAGGCUAACCCUAACACGGUACAUGACAUAUUAUGUGGAAGAAUGGUCCAGGAGGAAGGUCUUGUUUUCCAGCAAGAAUUGGUGGUUAGAUCCUUUGAUAUAGGCACUGAUAGCAAAAUGUCCAUAGUGGCCUGGGCAAAUUAUUACAGGUUCUCAGUCUGCUUUCUUUUAUCAUAUAUCAUCCAGCAAUUACAUAUAUAUAUUUAUAUAUAUAUAUAUACUCGCGUAUACUCACGUGUUUAUUGAUGUAGGAAACAUUACUUAACCAUUUUGAGAAGGUAGGAGUAUUGUCAGAUGGCUUUUCAACAGUGGAGAUGAGUAGAAGAGAUAUUGUUUGGGUGUUGUAUAAGAGAUGGAUAUCAUCGUAGAUCGUUUUCCUUCAUGAACCUGGAGAAUCGAGACACAUCUAAGCUGAUCGAGACGAUGCAAAUUCGACCUAACAAAACUGGAGAAAGACCAAUGGUGGUCCGACAGCGGAGGCUGUUGGUGGUCCAACGGUGAUGGUUGACAAUAUUGGCUGACAGUGGUGGUCCGAUGGCGGCCCAACGACUGUGAAAAAACGAUGACAACAUGAACUGGUACGGCAAUGAAAGUCUGUGGUGGCAAAAUAGGAGACCCAAAGUAUGCUUUGAGGUGACUUUUGUAAUUUUUGUUAUUUUUCUAGGAUGAAAUCAAAAAAACUUUGGUUGCUAA